RNAcentral lists this ribosomal RNA (200 nucleotides) under uncultured bacterium. RNAcentral describes it as "partial 16S ribosomal RNA". It matches the Rfam family "Bacterial small subunit ribosomal RNA", at positions 30 to 220 of the family's 1533-position model. The record is from RNAcentral.
AUUGAACGCUGGCGGUAUGCUUAACACAUGCAAGUCGAACGGCAGCACAGACUGUAGCAAUACAGUUGGGUGGCGAGUGGCGGACGGGUGAGUAAUACGCGGGAAUCUGUCUUGGAGUGGGGGAUAACUCGAGGAAACUCGAGCUAGUACCGCAUAUCUAGUUUACUAGAAAGGGGGCCUCUUCUUGAAAGCUCUCGCUC